CCAGAUUCUUGGCCUUUUGGCUAAGAUCAAGUGUAGUAUCUGUUCUUAUCAGUUCAACAGCAUUCUGUACAGUGUAAAAUAAAGUAAGUUCAAUGCAAAGGAAAUAAAGAUGAAUUGUUUCAGGUCAUCUUCUGAAACAAUGAUUCUCACCUUGGACUUCCUUUGCCACAGCUGGUAAUAAUAAUA
This is a small nuclear RNA of Artibeus jamaicensis (Jamaican fruit-eating bat), 186 nucleotides long. RefSeq annotates it as U2 spliceosomal RNA. Lineage: Eukaryota; Metazoa; Chordata; Mammalia; Chiroptera; Phyllostomidae. The transcript has a single exon. The record is from RefSeq and is a predicted model, not a curated record.